AUGACGCUGGCGGCAUGCNUUACACAUGCAANUCGAACGGCAGCACGGAGCUUGCUCUGGUGGCGAGUGGCGAACGGGUGAGUAAUAUAUCGGAACGUACCCUGGAGUGGGGGAUAACGUAGCGAAAGUUACGCUAAUACCGCAUACGAUCUACGGAUGAAAGUGGGGGAUCGCAAGACCUCAUGCUCGUGGAGCGGCCGAUAUCUGAUUAGCUAGUUGGUAGGGUAAAAGCCUACCAAGGCAUCGAUCAGUAGCUGGUCUGAGAGGACGACCAGCCACACUGGAACUGAGACACGGUCCAGACUCCUACGGGAGGCAGCAGUGGGGAAUUUUGGACAAUGGGCGAAAGCCUGAUCCAGCAAUGCCGCGUGAGUGAAGAAGGCCUUCGGGUUGUAAAGCUCUUUUGUCAGGGAAGAAAUCCCUUGCCCUAAUACGGCGGGGGGAUGACGGUACCGGAAGAAUAAGCACCGGCUAACUACGUGCCAGCCGCCG
Molecule: ribosomal RNA, 492 nt
Filed under: uncultured bacterium
Lineage: Bacteria
Description: bacterial SSU rRNA
Rfam family: Bacterial small subunit ribosomal RNA
Source: RNAcentral